Molecule: non-coding RNA, 79 nt
Organism: Rhamnusium bicolor
Lineage: Eukaryota; Metazoa; Arthropoda; Insecta; Coleoptera; Cerambycidae
Source: the annotation of a GenBank genome assembly
GGCAUGGUAACUGAGUGGGUAAAGUGCUAUUUACUCGGUACCGAAUAUCGAUGGUUCGAAUCCAUCCCGGAGCAAGUUA